GGCAAACGGGUGCGGAACACGUACGCAACCUUCCCAAAACUGGUGAAUAGCCUUUCGAAAGAGAGAUUAAUACACCGUAACUUAAUGAAGUGGCAUCACUUUAUUAGAAUAGCUCCGGCGGUUUUGGAUGGGCGUGCGGCUGAUUAGGUAGUUGGCGGGGUAACAGCCCACCAAGCCUGCGAUCAGUAACUGGUGUGAGAGCACGACCAGUCACACGGGCACUGAGACACGGGCCCGACUCCUACGGGAGGCAGCAGUAAGGAAUAUUGGUCAAUGGACGCAAGUCUGAACCAGCCAUGCCGCGUGGAGGAUGAAGGUCCUCUGGAUUGUAAACUUCUUUUAUCUGAGAAGAAACCCUUGCAUUCUUGCGAGGUUGACGGUACCAGAUGAAUAAGCACCGGCUAACUCCGUGCCAGCAGCCGCGGUAAUACGGAGGGUGCAAGCGUUAUCCGGAUUCACUGGGUUUAAAGGGUGCGUAGGUGGGCUAGUAAGUCCGUGGUGAGAUCUCCAAGCUUAACUUGGAAACUGCCGUGGAUACUAUUAGUCUUGAAUAUUGUGGAGGUAAGCGGAAUAUGUCAUGUAGCGGUGAAAUGCUUAGAUAUGACAUAGAACACCGAUAGCGAAGGCAGCUUGCUACACAAUCAUUGACACUGAGGCACGAAAGCGUGGGGAUCAAACAGGAUUAGAUACCCUGGUAGUCC
RNAcentral lists this ribosomal RNA (701 nucleotides) under uncultured bacterium. RNAcentral's name for it is "bacterial SSU rRNA". It matches the Rfam family "Bacterial small subunit ribosomal RNA", at positions 97 to 796 of the family's 1533-position model. The record is from RNAcentral.